RNAcentral lists this ribosomal RNA (1763 nucleotides) under Neocarus texanus. RNAcentral describes it as "SSU rRNA". It matches the Rfam family "Eukaryotic small subunit ribosomal RNA". The record is from RNAcentral. Lineage: Eukaryota; Metazoa; Arthropoda; Arachnida; Opilioacarida; Opilioacaridae.
UCAUAUGCUUGUCUCAAAGAUUAAGCCAUGCAUGUCUAAGUACAAGCCGAAGUACGGCGAAACCGCGAAUGGCUCAUUAAAUCAGUUAUGGUUCCUUAGAGCAUAAAUUGUUACUUGGAUAACUGUGGUAAUUCUAGAGCUAAUACAUGCACGAUCACCAACCUCUCUGAGGGACGUGUGCUUUUAUUAGACCAAGAUCAAUCGGGCUUCGGUCCGCGGUUGUGGUGACUCUGGAUAACUUUGUGCAGAACGCUAAGGUCUUUGCACCGGCGGCAAUUCUUUCAAGUGUCUGCCUUAUCAACUGUCGAUGGUAGGUUAUGCGCCUACCAUGGUUGUAACGGGUAACGGAGAAUCAGGGUUCGGUUCCGGAGAGGGAGCCUGAGAGACGGCUACCACAUCCAAGGAAGGCAGCAGGCGCGCAAAUUACCCACUCCCGGCACGGGGAGGUAGUGACGAAAAAUAACAAUACGGGACUCUAUUGAGGCCCCGUAAUUGGAAUGAGUACACUCUAAAUCCUUUAACGAGGAUCAAUUGGAGGGCAAGUCUGGUGCCAGCAGCCGCGGUAAUUCCAGCUCCAAUAGCGUAUGUUAAAGUUGUUGCGGUUAAAAAGCUCGUAGUUGGAUCUCAGUCGCAGGCGGGAAGUACACCUAACCGGUGAGACGGCCCGUGCUGGACAGGAUGCCGGCUGUCUCUUGGUCCUCUUCAUUGGGUGCCUUGAGGUGGCCUGUGCGUUUACUUUGAAAAAAUUAGAGUGCUUAAAGCAGGCGUGACGCCUGAAUAACAGUGCAUGGAAUAAUGGAAUAGGAACUCUUGCCUAUUGUGUUGGUUUCUGGAUAAGAGCUAAUGAUUAAGAGGGACAGACGGGGGCAUUCGUAUUGCAGCGCUAGAGGUGAAAUUCUUGGACCGUUGCAAGACGAACUACUGCGAAAGCAUUUGCCAAGAAUGUUUUCAUUGAUCAAGAACGAAAGUUAGAGGUUCGAAGGCGAUCAGAUACCGCCCUAGUUCUAACCAUAAACGAUGCCAACCAGCGAUCCGCCUGAGUUCCUCAAAUGACUCGGCGGGCAGCUUCCGGGAAACCAAAGUAUUUGGGUUCCGGGGGAAGUAUGGUUGCAAAGCUGAAACUUAAAGGAAUUGACGGAAGGGCACCACCAGGAGUGGAGCCUGCGGCUUAAUUUGACUCAACACGGGAAAACUUACCCGGCCCGGACACCGGAAGGAUUGACAGAUUGAGAGCUCUUUCUUGAUUCGGUGGAUGGUGGUGCAUGGCCGUUCUUAGUUGGUGGAGCGAUUUGUCUGGUUAAUUCCGAUAACGAACGAGACUCUAGCCUAUUAAAUAGCCGUGUGGUCGUCUGUGCCAUGCGGUCUUCUUAGAGGGACAAGCUGCUCCUAGCAGCACGAAACAGAGCAAUAACAGGUNUGUGAUGCCCUUAGAUGUCCGGGGCCGCACGCGCGCUACACUGAAGGAAGCAACGUGUGCAUAUCCCUGUUCAGAUGAACUGGGUAACCCGAUCAACCUCCUUCGUGAUUGGAAUAGGGGCUUGAAAUUGUUCCCCUUGAACGAGGAAUUCCCAGUAAGCGCGAGUCAUAAGCUCGCGUUGAUUACGUCCCUGCCCUUUGUACACACCGCCCGUCGCUACUACCGAUUGAAUGAUUUAGUGAGGUCUUCAGACUGAAACCCGAUGCGGCCUCUGGUUGCGCCGGUGUGUCGUGAAGAUGACCAAACUUGAUUAUUUAGAGGAAGUAAAAGUCGUAACAAGGUUUCC